UACAGAGGGGGCAAGCGUUGUUCGGAAUUACUGGGCGUAAAGGGCGCGUAGGCGGCCGCCUAAGUCAGACGUGAAAUCCCUCGGCUCAACCGGGGAACUGCGUCUGAUACUGGGUGGCUUGAAUCCGGGAGAGGGAUGCGGAAUUCCAGGUGUAGCGGUGAAAUGCGUAGAUAUCUGGAGGAACACCGGUGGCGAAGGCGGCAUCCUGGACCGACACUGACGCUGAUGCGCGAAAGCCAGGGGAGCAAACGGG
This 253-nucleotide ribosomal RNA is filed under the name uncultured bacterium. RNAcentral describes it as "partial 16S ribosomal RNA". It matches the Rfam family "Bacterial small subunit ribosomal RNA", at positions 524 to 776 of the family's 1533-position model. The record is from RNAcentral.